UCUCCGUUGGUGAACCAGCGGAGGGAUCAUUACCGAGUUUACAACUCCCAAACCCCAUGUGAACCUUACCAAACGUUGCUUCGGCGGGAUGCCCCGGGCGCGGGCCGCAAGGCCUCAGCCCCGGAACCAAGCGCCCGCCGGAGGCCCAAACCAAACUCUUGUUUUUGUAGAAUCUUCUGAGUGGCCUUUUAGGCAAAAAAUGAAUCAAAACUUUCAACAACGGAUCUCUUGGUUCUG
RNAcentral lists this unclassified non-coding RNA (237 nucleotides) under plant metagenome. RNAcentral's name for it is "partial contains small subunit ribosomal RNA, internal transcribed spacer 1, and 5.8S ribosomal RNA". The record is from RNAcentral.